CCCUUAGAUGUUCUGGGCCGCACGCGCGCUACACUGACGAUGGCAACGAGUUUUUCCUUCGCCGAAAGGUGUGGGUAAUCUUUUGAAACAUCGUCGUGCUGGGGAUAGAUCAUUGCAAUUUUUGAUCUUGAACGAGGAAUUCCUAGUAAGCGCGAGUCAUCAGCUCGCGUUGAUUACGUCCCUGCCCUUUGUACACACCGCCCGUCGCUACUACCGAUUGAAUGGUUUAGUGAGGACUCCUGAUUGGCGUCGCCGCCCCGGCAACGGAGCAGCGGACUGCCGAAAAGUUGUUCAAACCUGAUCAUUUAGAGGAAGUAAAAGUCGUAACA
RNAcentral lists this ribosomal RNA (329 nucleotides) under uncultured eukaryote. RNAcentral's name for it is "partial 18S ribosomal RNA". It matches the Rfam family "Eukaryotic small subunit ribosomal RNA", at positions 1470 to 1796 of the family's 1831-position model. The record is from RNAcentral.